Molecule: unclassified non-coding RNA, 399 nt
Filed under: soil metagenome
Description: partial contains 5.8S ribosomal RNA, internal transcribed spacer 2, and large subunit ribosomal RNA
Rfam family: 5.8S ribosomal RNA (bases 1-120)
Source: RNAcentral
GAUGAAGAACGUAGCGAAAUGCGAUACUUGGUGUGAAUUGCAGAAUCCCGUGAACCAUCGAGUCUUUGAACGCAAGUUGCGCCCGAAGCCUCGGCUAAGGGCACGUCUGCCUGGGCGUCACGCAUCGCGUCUCCCCCAAACCGCCAAGGCGGAGGGGAAGGAAGAUGGCUUCCCGUGCCUCACCCGGCGCGGUUGGCCUAAAUUUGGAGCCCGCGGCACUUAGCUCACGCGGCGAUAGGUGGUGAACAAGGCCUUGGCCGUGCAAACAACCCGCUGCGAAGCUCUAUGUCACGUGCGCUCGUCGGACCCUUUGAAGUUGCCUUCGGUGACUUAAAACCUUUGCGACCCCAGGUCAGGCGGGGCUACCCGCUGAAUUUAAGCAUAUCAAUAAGCGGAGGA